Molecule: ribosomal RNA, 253 nt
Filed under: uncultured bacterium
Lineage: Bacteria
Description: partial 16S ribosomal RNA
Rfam family: Bacterial small subunit ribosomal RNA
Source: RNAcentral
UACGUAGGUGGCAAGCGUUGUCCGGAAUUAUUGGGCGUAAAGCGCGCGCAGGCGGUCCCUUAAGUCUGAUGUGAAAGCCCACGGCUCAACCGUGGGGGGUCAUUGGAAACUGGGGGACUUGAGUACAGAAGAGGAAAGCGGAAUUCCACGUGUAGCGGUGAAAUGCGUAGAGAUGUGGAGGAACACCAGUGGCGAAGGCGGCUUUCUGGUCUGUAACUGACGCUGAGGCGCGAAAGCGUGGGGAGCAAACAGG